AUGGAGAUUACAAAGAUGGGGAGUUCUAGCCACCCAGUUCAUCAAGAUGCACAAGUACAAAAUCAAAAUAAUCUCCUUCAAGCCCAACAGCUCCAGAGGCAGUACACUCCUCAAAUGACUAUCCAUAACCAGAAUCUGACAGCACAGCAGCAGCACCAGCUGCUGCAGCAACAACAGUGGAUGAGGCGGAACCAAAUGAUGCCCCCCCGCGGCGCUCUUACGAUGUCGGACAAAACCCAGGCCCUGGUAAACGUGAAGCUCGAGAACACCAUGGAUUCACAAAUUGAUAGCCCGUACGGAUCUCUCACCAGACAACAACAACAUAUGCAGUAG
This 333-nucleotide ribosomal RNA is filed under the name Triticum aestivum (bread wheat). RNAcentral's name for it is "partial small subunit ribosomal RNA". The record is from RNAcentral. Lineage: Eukaryota; Viridiplantae; Streptophyta; Magnoliopsida; Poales; Poaceae.